RNAcentral lists this transfer RNA (70 nucleotides) under Nuchequula nuchalis. Its description in RNAcentral is "tRNA-Met". It matches the Rfam family "tRNA". From Rfam's summary of the family: Transfer RNA (tRNA) molecules are approximately 80 nucleotides in length. Their secondary structure includes four short double-helical elements and three loops (D, anti-codon, and T loops). Lineage: Eukaryota; Metazoa; Chordata; Actinopteri; Chaetodontiformes; Leiognathidae. The record is from RNAcentral. RNAcentral also lists the same sequence under 4 other names.
AGUAAAGUCAGCUAAUUUAAGCUCUCGGGCCCAUACCCCGAUAAUGUUGGUUAAAAUCCCUCCUUUACUA